RNAcentral lists this ribosomal RNA (506 nucleotides) under uncultured bacterium. RNAcentral's name for it is "partial 16S ribosomal RNA". It matches the Rfam family "Bacterial small subunit ribosomal RNA", at positions 29 to 523 of the family's 1533-position model. The record is from RNAcentral.
AGUGAACGCUGGCGGUAGGCCUAACACAUGCAAGUCGAACGGCAGCACAGGAGAGCUUGCUCUCUGGAUGGCGAGUGGCGGACGGGUGAGGAAUACAUCGGAAUCUACUUUUUCGUGGGGGAUAACGUAGGGAAACUUACGCUAAUACCGCAUACGACCUACGGGUGAAAGCAGGGGACCUUCGGGCCUUGCGCGAUUGAAUGAGCCGAUGUCGGAUUAGCUAGUUGGCGGGGUAAAGGCCCACCAAUGCGACGAUCCGUAGCUGGUCUGAGAGGAUGAUCAGCCACACUGGAACUGAGACACGGUCCAGACUCCUACGGGAGGCAGGAGUGGGGAAUAUUGGACAAUGGGCGCAAGCCUGAUCCAGCCAUACCGCGUGGGUGAAGAAGGCCUUCGGGUUGUAAAGCCCUUUUGUUGGGAAAGAAAUCCAGCUGGCUAAUACCCGGUUGGGAUGACGGUACCCAAAGAAUAAGCACCGGCUAACUUCGUGCCAGCCGCCGCAGUAA